CUUGGCAAUGUGCGAAAGCACGACAAAGGUUAAUCCGAGUGUCUCCUGCUAAAGGAGUCUUUUGUCAGUUGUAGAAUCACUGGUGAAUAAGGGGUGGGCAAGUUCUGGUGUCAGCCGCCGCGGUAAAACCAGCACCUCGAGUGGUCAGGAGGUUUAUUGGGCCUAAAGCAUCCGUAGCCGGUUGCAUAAGUUUUCGGUUAAAUCUAUGCGCUUAACGUAUAGGCCGCCGAAAAUACUGUGCAGCUAGGGAGUGGGAGAGGUACACGGUACUCGACAGGAAGGGGUAAAAUCCUUUGAUCUAUUGAAGACCACCUGUGGCGAAGGCGGUGUACCAGAACACGUUCGACGGUGAGGGAUGAAAGCUGGGGGAGCAAACCGGAUUAGAUACCCGGGUAGUCCCAGCUGUAAACGAUGCAGACUCGGUGAUGCAUUGGCUUGUGGCCAAUGCAGUGCCGCAGGGAAGCCGUUAAGUCUGCCGCCUGGGAAGUACGUACGCAAGUAUGAACUAAAGGAUUGGCGGGGGAGCACCACAAGGGGUGAAGCGUGCGUCCAAUUGGAGUCACGCA
RNAcentral lists this ribosomal RNA (566 nucleotides) under uncultured archaeon. RNAcentral's name for it is "bacterial SSU rRNA". It matches the Rfam family "Archaeal small subunit ribosomal RNA", at positions 348 to 919 of the family's 1478-position model. The record is from RNAcentral.